RNAcentral lists this transfer RNA (71 nucleotides) under Streptomyces mutabilis. RNAcentral describes it as "tRNA-Cys". It matches the Rfam family "tRNA". Rfam says of the family: Transfer RNA (tRNA) molecules are approximately 80 nucleotides in length. Their secondary structure includes four short double-helical elements and three loops (D, anti-codon, and T loops). The record is from RNAcentral. Lineage: Bacteria; Bacillati; Actinomycetota; Actinomycetes; Kitasatosporales; Streptomycetaceae.
GGCCGUGUGCCCGAGUGGCUCAGGGCUCGCCUGCAAAGCGAGUUACACGGGUUCGAAUCCCGUCACGGCCU